Molecule: non-coding RNA, 25 nt
Filed under: Mus musculus (house mouse)
Lineage: Eukaryota; Metazoa; Chordata; Mammalia; Rodentia; Muridae
Also listed under: 1 other name
Source: RNAcentral
UGCCCUGAGCAUGUUGAUCUCUUUG